Lyophyllum atratum is the source of this 102-nucleotide non-coding RNA. NCBI's taxonomy places the organism in Eukaryota, Fungi, Basidiomycota, Agaricomycetes, Agaricales, Lyophyllaceae. The record is from the annotation of a GenBank genome assembly.
GCAUUAAUGGGAUAGUGGUAACCUGGAUCGUUGCCAUAUGGGUGAAUAUAUAACUGUUCAGUUGGACUCGAUCCGCUGGGAGUUCGAUUCUCUCUUAAUGCA